UGACUGGAGGAGCGCAUGCGUUAGGCCCUCCCCCAGCGCUGCCAUUGAGGAGCAUUUAUUCAGUGAGUGGAAGAGAUUUGUUUGAAACAGUCCGCAAUGGAGAGACCAGCGUCCAGGGAAGCGAGGGAACAGCAGGCUCCUUCCAGCAGCGCAUCGCAAUGCAAAUAUUUGAUGGGCCAAGACAAUGUCAUAUUUCCACUGUACAGGACCAAGUGUGACCAGCUGCUCCUACCAAACAGCAGAAAAUACUGAAGCUAUUACAUGAUCCACGAUGAAUUCUCCUGAAACAGCCCAAGAAGUAAAUUGAAAUCCAGAUUAAAUAUGCCUCCAAAUAUCUCACCUUGUCUUAGACUUGGACAUGUAACUCAUGUAUCAAUUUCUUUUGUAGAAAGUACAAAUUAAAAAACAGCAAACAUCUCA
This is a long non-coding RNA of Rhincodon typus (whale shark), 420 nucleotides long. RefSeq lists it as uncharacterized. The record is from RefSeq and is a predicted model, not a curated record. The transcript is spliced from 3 exons. NCBI's taxonomy places the organism in Eukaryota, Metazoa, Chordata, Chondrichthyes, Orectolobiformes, Rhincodontidae.